UUCAGACUUAAGAGCUAUUCAAAUAAGGCACAGCUUAUUUGAAAUAGGACACAACCUACAACAUAGGGUAAAUGAGAGUGACCUAAAUAAAGUGGGCCUAAAAGCAGCCACCUUCAGAAAAGCGUUAAAGCUUAACUACCCUCACUCAUAAUGCCUAAAAUCUCCACUAACCCUUCAUUACUACUGAACAAUUUUAUACUCAUAUAAAAGCUAUCAUGCUAGAACUAGUAACAAGAAACUGCUUUUCUCCUAAAUGUAAACAUAAACCAAAAUAGACCAUCUAUUGGUUAUUAACGUAAAUGCUAAACUGUAGCAACACUCACUAGAAAAUCCUAUAAACCCCAACGUUAACCUUACACCAGAACAUUACAGGAAAGAUUAAAAGAAAAAGAAGGAACUCGGCAAAUUUUAGCCUCGCCUGUUUACCAAAAACAUCGCCUCUUGACAAACAUAAGAGGUCCAGCCUGCCCAGUGACAAAGUUCAACGGCCGCGGUACCCUAACCGUGCAAAGGUAGCACAAUCACUUGUUCUUUAAAUGAGGACUCGUAUCAACGGCACUACGAGGGCUAUACUGUCUCCUUUUUCUAAUCAGUGAAACUGAUCUCCCCGUGAAGAAGCGGGGAUUGUAAUAUAAGACGAGAAGACCCCAUGGAGCUUUAAACUCACCAUGUACCCCUGUGCUCCCAUACCCCCAGACACAACAGACCUACAUGUUAGUUUUAGGUUGGGGUGACCACGGAGUAUAACUUAACCUCCAUAGCAAAUGGGCUAAUACCCUUAUCCACGAGACACAACUCUAAGAAUUACUAAACUAAUGCUUACGACCCGAUAUUCGAUCCAUGAACCAAGUUACCCUGGGGAUAACAGCGCAAUCUACUUCAAGAGCUCAUAUCGACAAGUAGGUUUACGACCUCGAUGUUGGAUCAGGGUAUCCCGGUGGUGCAGCCG
RNAcentral lists this ribosomal RNA (949 nucleotides) under Rana taihangensis. RNAcentral describes it as "partial 16S ribosomal RNA". It matches the Rfam family "Bacterial large subunit ribosomal RNA", at positions 970 to 2561 of the family's 2925-position model. The record is from RNAcentral. Lineage: Eukaryota; Metazoa; Chordata; Amphibia; Anura; Ranidae.